Molecule: non-coding RNA, 483 nt
Organism: Hydra vulgaris (swiftwater hydra)
Lineage: Eukaryota; Metazoa; Cnidaria; Hydrozoa; Anthoathecata; Hydridae
Source: RefSeq, a predicted model, not a curated record
CAUGGAGCGGUUCAAAGCUUUGGUUGGAUCGGACUUCAAGCCAAAAAGUGUGAUGUCGGACUACGAACGGGCGAUCCUGAACACCAUGCAAACUGCCUUUCCGGAAUCGAGAGUGUCUGGAUGCAGAUUUCACUUCAGCCAAGCAGUUCUCCGGAAAGUGUGUGCUCGCAACAAGGAGGAUUUCUAUAAAAAUGUUGAGUUUAGGAAUCUGAUGCUCAAACACAUGGCCCUAAGCACUCUACCGGCGAACCAAAUGGUACCGGUAUUCCAACAGCUGAAGCAAGAAGUGCUCCACUUACAACCACUCAGGCUCCGGAAGCAAGUCCAGAUAAUGCACAGGAAUUACUUCUUAAAGUGGUGGUUCCAAGGCAUCGGGCCCCAGCUGAUCUCUACGUACGGUCUUGCACAUAAGACCAACAACGUCUGCGAAAGUCUCCAUAAGAAAAUGUCUUUGAAGCUGGCAAAGGCGUCGACAAUCUGGAG